Oryctolagus cuniculus (rabbit) is the source of this 3765-nucleotide non-coding RNA. NCBI's taxonomy places the organism in Eukaryota, Metazoa, Chordata, Mammalia, Lagomorpha, Leporidae. The record is from RefSeq and is a predicted model, not a curated record.
UUGUUUAUAUAUUCACCCACUGAAGGACAUCUUCAUUGCAUCCAAGUUUUAAAACCAUGAGUAAAACUGCUAUAUGCAUCUGCGUGUAGGUUUUUGUGUAGAUAUAAGAUUUCAACUCCUUUGGAUAAUUACUAAGAAGCAUGAUGACUGGAUGGUAUGGUAAGGAUAUUUUAGUUUUAUAAGAAACUGCCAAAUUAUUUUCUAAAGUGUUUGUGCCAUUUCGUAUUCUCACCAGUAGGGAGUGAGUGUUCCUGUUACUCCAUCUCCUCGCCAGCACUUGACACUGUCGGUGUUCUGGACUUUGGCCAUAUGGAGAGGCCCUGGCUGCCCACGUAAUGGAAAACCUUCUUCUUCUUCCAUCUCUGGCCGUUUCAUGAUAACUCAUCCUCCAGGUGAGACUUGGACUCUUCCCUGGACCCCAGUGUGCUUGUGCUGGUAGAAGCUGCAUUAUCCAGGAUUCAACCAUGACCUGACAGGCCUGAAAGGGUCCUGGCUCUUCUCACCACUUCUGAUUCGGAUGCAGCUCCGCACUACAGGACAUGGGACCUGGGUUCACUAGCAGCUGUCCUAGUGGAGGAGUGGAAGGAACAUUCUGACUGAGGAGGACAGGAGAUGUUCCCCAGAGGAUACAUUCAUCUCCCUUUGUUCCAUGAUGGACUCUUCGGAAGUGAGUGGUUUCAUGUGGGCUCUCUGGAAAAGCGCCACGUAACCAAGCACCUGGGUGUGUUUUCUCAUCACUCUGGGGCUAGAUAGGCAAGUAAUGAAUGCUUUAUAUUUGCUGAUUCUAUCUCCUUCCCCCCUUACUUUGGCUAUCCUGGGGUUAUAUUUUCCUAAAACCUUCUUGUGUGAGCUUUGCCACAAGCUUGUUUUCGAAGGAAACCAGAGUAAGAUGACUGGCAGCAAGAAUGAGUCUAGAAAGCAAAACUUCAGGACUGGAUUGAGAGUUGGAUUUCUUGUCUUUUUGAAAGCAAGAGGAGCUCCACAGCUGGUGGUGAGUGGAAGGUUGAUAACCUUGGCAGGCAAUGGCAAUGCCACGCUGAAUUAGCUUUCUAUUGCUGUGGUGACACACUAUCACAAUCAGAGUGACUUAAAGAAAGAACAUGUAUUAAUUUAUUCUAGCUAAGUUUGGUAGACUAGAAGUUGGGCAGAGGUCUCACUGGGUUAAAAUCAAGGUGUGAGUAGGGCUUUGCUCCAUCCCAGGAACUCUGCCUGGAGAAGGUAGCAUGUUUCCUAGCCUUCUCCAGUUUUUAAAGUCACCUGCAUUCCUUGGCAAGUGAAGCCUUCCCCUGUCUCAAAGGCCACAAAUGACAUCUGUCUAACCCUGCUUCUAUUGUUACAAGUCUCUCUAUUACAUAGCCACAAAAAUAUCUCUGUUUCUAAGUACUCAUGCAAUUAGUUUGGACCCAUCUGACAAUCCAGGACAAUCUCUUUAUAGCAAAAUACUUAACCUUAAUCACAACUCUAUUAGUCAAAAUACUUAACCUUAAUCAUAGCAAAAUACUUUACCUUAAUCACAACUUCAUUAGUCGACAUGUAGAUUCUGAGAUUUGGAGGUAGAUUUUGUUGAAGGAGACACUCUUCUGAUAAUUCAUUUCAAUUACUAAAGUUUUCUCUCAUGGCUUAUUGAAAAAUGUCAUUAGAAGGCAAGUCAUUGGUAAAUGUGUUACUGACACAUUUAGUUGUUUGGGAGAAAGAAAAUUUAUAAGGAUUAUGCCAUCAGGUGUCUUCUUUUGAAGGCAUUGGUAGUUUUAGAAAAAGAGAAUUCUUGACAUGGUUAAGCAAUGCUCUGUAAGUCUGACUGUUCUUAAGUCUGCUUUAAGGGACUAAAACAUCAUGAAUACUUUGCUGGAAAUCAGGCUCAGGAUUUUGUUGUAAGGGUGUCAGAAGUGAAAGACAUGUGUACCACCUCCACAGGUCUCCUAUGUUAGUGUGAGGACCUUGAUCAGAAAAGUUGGUGACUUCGAGACCUGGGAUGCUCUGUAUCCAUUCCACCAUCUACCACUCUCAUCAGAUGCCAGUCCAGUGGGGCCACCUGAUCUUGGACUAUGAAUCUCCAAAAAUUCCCUUGUUCCUGCUUCCUGGGAUCACUCCCCAACUCCCACCUCAACACGAAAUACCCAGAAUGGAGUCCUUGUUUCUACUGAACCGAGCUAAGGCAGGUCCUCAUUGGAAAACCAGGAAUCCUGAGAGGAGAUGCCGACUAAGGUUUGUGGAUCCUGCUCUCUGCAGGACAGAUGAGCUGGCCAUGGGCUCUGGGAGCUGCAGCUCUGUGCACUGUCAAGUUUAAAUGCAGCCAGCAAAACCAUUCCAUUCUGAGCAAUCAAUUAACCACCAGAGAAAUGUACCAGAGGGAGACUCCUGGCUGGAGGAGGGAUCAAGAGAUGCCAGAAGGAAGACCAUCAGUGACUUUCUGGUCAGCCAAAGAGAUGUCACAGAGAAGAAAGAGGGAAGAUAGAGCUGAGAAAAGAAGCUGGCAUCACACAGAGGAAAGGAAGUGCUGCCUCUCCCUUUCUUCCUGUCAAGAAGGCUAAGAGGUGUGAGCAGCAGAUUGCAAAACAGUCUAGGGAACCAAGGACACCGCCAACUUGCUCUCCAUGUUGGCACUGUUUCUUGAGUUUUGGAAGGCAGCAACUAAAGCCUGGGGACAUUGACCAAGGAGAGCCAUGGGUUCCUUCUGCCAUGUGCCUGCAGAGAAGAGUAUCCACUGACCAGAGUGGGCAGGUGGUGUGUUCUUGGUGGAUGGGAAGAAAUUUGGGAUGCACCUGUCAGUGGCAAUGACUGGCAAAACAUGAAUUGGGGGUAAUUUAGGCCAUAUGCUUUGAAUCAGAGCUUGUCUGAGCUUGAACUCCAGAGUGUACAGAACUCUAUUUGCAGAGAUGGUUCUUCCCCUUGCAAGGGAUUUGCCCCCACAUCCACCCACACCCCCGUAACAGUGGACACAAAGAACACUGCUUGGAGAUACGUGUGUGUGUGUUUAGCCGCCAGCAUUAUUGAUGAACCAAGAGUAAAGCUCUUUCUAACAACACCCUAAGUGCCAAAGAAGACUUUAAAAUAAGCCAAAGACAAUGGCUGCAGGGAGACUUCUGGAAUAUAGGGUUUCACAGAAGGAAGUCCGUCGGUCUCAGACUGAGGUGCUCAUUUCUGUACCAACAGGAAUCACAUCUUCCUCCCUUUACAGGUGCCCUCUCCGCUCGUCUCAUGGAUGGCAGCCAGUUUCUUCUACCAGCUUGUAAGGCUGAAAGAACUCAAAAUGCUGAAACCAAGUGAAACGGGCAUUACUGCUCUGGAAUUUCUGAAUCAGAAAAAAUCCAUUUAAUGGGAAUGAGAAAUCUUCAUUAUUCAUUUAUUUAAUAUCAAACAGGCAUAAAUUAACUGGAAAUUGAACUGGAAAAAUACAGCACACCCACAACCCCAAUACUUAUAAAUCAUAUAUGAUAAACAGGGAAAAACCCAUUCCCCACCACCUCCCUCUCCCUCCCUAUUCCCGCAUUCCAAUUGUUGUUACUAGUUUAGAGUGCAUGCUGGAAUUUUUAGUCUUUAAGAUAAGUCACAGUAAUGUAAAUUUAAAAUAUAUUAUAUUAAAAACUAAACAAAAAAAAAAGAAAGGGAGAAGGAAGGAAGGAGGAUGGAAGGGACAGAGGGAGAGGGAGGUAGGGAAGAAGGGAUAUCAUUAUAUUAUUAGAAUUGUAUCUACAAAGCACAUUGAAAAACUUAAAAACUAAUGAAAAAUUAAAAAAACUAUAAAAAUUAGUGGUAAGAAUGUCU